AACUUGAAGGAAAGGAUAUUGACUCCCUGUACACGACCCCAGAAAAGCUACACACUUGGAUUAAGGCUGUGGUGGAUGCUUACCAUUCCAGUCAGGAAGGUACUCUUAUAAGAGAGGCUAGGGAUCUGAUGAAUCCAAAAAUUAUCAAAAAACUGGAGGAACUGAAGAUGCUAAUUGAAGACAAGUUCAUGUGAUAAUGAGGUAAAUGAAGCAGAGGGACAUCUAGAGGACACAAAGGAUGCUAUCAUAUCAGUGGGCAAAGCAGUGGGAAGAUUUGAGUUACUCUGUGGAACAAACACGCCCUUCAUGAGGAGAUCAUAACGAAGUUGGAGGAAGCAGAUGCUGAAGCUUCUUACAAAGUUUGUGUCUGAAGAUGAUGAGUGGCAAAGCAAAUCUUGUAACGAUUUUUGAAGAUGGAUAUCAGCCUUUAACAGCCCGUACGCAUUUUUGUUAAUUAGUUAACCAGGAUUCUUGUUAAUUUGUUGGCACUUCAUGGAUGUUAGAAAUUCAAUACCAAUGUAAUACACCUGAUUUAUCAUCCAACUUCAAAAAUCGUUACAAGAUUUGCUUUGCCACUCAUCAUCUUCAGACACAAACUUUGUAAGAAGCUUCAGCAUCUGCUUCCUCCAACUUCGUUAUGAUCUCCUCAUGAAGGGCGUG
This 660-nucleotide unclassified non-coding RNA is filed under the name Hevea brasiliensis (rubber tree). The record is from RNAcentral. Lineage: Eukaryota; Viridiplantae; Streptophyta; Magnoliopsida; Malpighiales; Euphorbiaceae.